UCCACAUAUUAGUAAUGCCUGAGAGAGC
This 28-nucleotide non-coding RNA is filed under the name Rattus norvegicus (Norway rat). The record is from RNAcentral. Lineage: Eukaryota; Metazoa; Chordata; Mammalia; Rodentia; Muridae.